RNAcentral lists this ribosomal RNA (371 nucleotides) under Taruga eques (Gunther's whipping frog). Its description in RNAcentral is "partial 12S ribosomal RNA". It matches the Rfam family "Bacterial small subunit ribosomal RNA", at positions 839 to 1381 of the family's 1533-position model. Lineage: Eukaryota; Metazoa; Chordata; Amphibia; Anura; Rhacophoridae. The record is from RNAcentral.
GCCAAACUGUAAAUCUAAAUUACACACAAAACGCCAGGGUAUUACGAGCCUCAGCUUAAAACCCAAAGGACUUGACGGUGUCUCAUCCAACUAGAGGAGCCUGUUCUAUAAUCGAUACCACACGAUAUAUCCAACCAUUUUUUGCAAAUCAGUUUGUAUACCUCCGUCGUAAGCUUACCAUAUGAAUGAAACAGAGUGGGCCAAAGGACUCCGCGCCAAAACGUCAGGUCAAGGUGCAGCUUAUAAAAUGGAAGAAAUGGGCUACAAUUUCUAUAUUAGAACAAACGAAUUACCUAAUGAAACAAGGUCAUGAAGGUGGAUUUAGUAGUAAGUAAUGAAUAAUGAGCCUUACUUAAUUUGGCCAUGAGACG